GUGCAGCAGGCGAGAAUUUUUCUCAAUGGGGGAAACCCUGAAGGAGCGACGCCGCGUGAAGGAUGAAGGUCUUCGGAUUGUAAACUUCUGUCAUUAGGGAACAAAUCUUCCAAGUAACUACUGGAAGUCUGAUAGUACCUGAAGAGGAAGAGACGGCUAACUCUGUGCCAGCAGCCGCGGUAAUACAGAGGUCUCAACCGUUGUUCGGAUUCAUUGGGCGUAAAGGGUGCGUAGGCGGCGGAGUAAGUCAGGUGUGAAAUCUCGGGGCUCAACCCCGAAACUGCACUUGAUACUGCUUCGCUUGAGUACUGGAGAGGAGACUGGAAUUUACGGUGUAGCAGUGAAAUGCGUAGAUAUCGUAAGGAAGACCAGUGGCGAAGGCGAGUCUCUGGACAGUUAUUGACGCUGAGGCACGAAGGCCAGGGGAGCAAACGGGAUUAGAUA
This 444-nucleotide ribosomal RNA is filed under the name uncultured organism. RNAcentral's name for it is "bacterial SSU rRNA". It matches the Rfam family "Bacterial small subunit ribosomal RNA", at positions 346 to 784 of the family's 1533-position model. The record is from RNAcentral.